RNAcentral lists this ribosomal RNA (538 nucleotides) under Staphylococcus aureus. Its description in RNAcentral is "partial 23S ribosomal RNA". It matches the Rfam family "Bacterial large subunit ribosomal RNA", at positions 552 to 1091 of the family's 2925-position model. The record is from RNAcentral. Lineage: Bacteria; Bacillati; Bacillota; Bacilli; Caryophanales; Staphylococcaceae.
GAAACCGUGUGCUUACAAGUAGUCAGAGCCCGUUAAUGGGUGAUGGCGUGCCUUUUGUAGAAUGAACCGGCGAGUUACGAUUUGAUGCAAGGUUAAGCAGUAAAUGUGGAGCCGUAGCGAAAGCGAGUCUGAAUAGGGCGUUUAGUAUUUGGUCGUAGACCCGAAACCAGGUGAUCUACCCUUGGUCAGGUUGAAGUUCAGGUAACACUGAAUGGAGGACCGAACCGACUUACGUUGAAAAGUGAGCGGAUGAACUGAGGGUAGCGGAGAAAUUCCAAUCGAACCUGGAGAUAGCUGGUUCUCUCCGAAAUAGCUUUAGGGCUAGCCUCAAGUGAUGAUUAUUGGAGGUAGAGCACUGUUUGGACGAGGGGCCCCUCUCGGGUUACCGAAUUCAGACAAACUCCGAAUGCCAAUUAAUUUAACUUGGGAGUCAGAACAUGGGUGAUAAGGUCCGUGUUCGAAAGGGAAACAGCCCAGACCACCAGCUAAGGUCCCAAAAUAUAUGUUAAGUGGAAAAGGAUGUGGCGUUGCCCAGACA